Molecule: ribosomal RNA, 568 nt
Filed under: uncultured bacterium
Lineage: Bacteria
Description: bacterial SSU rRNA
Rfam family: Bacterial small subunit ribosomal RNA
Source: RNAcentral
CCUACGGGAGGCAGCAGUCGGGAAUUUUGGGCAAUGGGCGCAAGCCUGACCCAGCAACGCCGCGUGAAGGAUGAAAUCUUUCGGGAUGUAAACUUCACAAGAACGGGAAGAAUAAGUAAGGGUUAAUACUCCUUACGAUGACGGUACUGUUUGUAAGCUCCGGCUAACUCCGUGCCAGCAGCCGCGGUAAUACGGGGGGAGCAAGCGUUGUUCGGAUUUACUGGGCGUAAAGGGCGCGUAGGCGGCGCAACAAGUCACUUGUGAAAUCUUCAGGCUUAACCUGAAGCGGCCAAGUGAUACUGUCGUGCUCGAGUGCGGAAGGGGCAACCGGAAUUCUUGGUGUAGCGGUGAAAUGCGUAGAUAUCAAGAGGAACACCUGCGGCGAAGGCGGGUUGCUGGGCCGACACUGACGCUGAGGCGCGAAAGCUAGGGGAGCGAACGGGAUUAGAUACCCCGGUAGUCCUAGCCUUAAACGAUGAAUGCUUGGUGUCCGAGGUUAGAUAGUCCUCGGGUGCCGUCGCUAACGCUUUAAGCAUUCCGCCUGGGGAGUACGGUCGCAAGACUGAAA